AGAGUUUGAUCCUGGCUCAGGAUGAACGCUGGCGGCGUGCCUAAUACAUGCAAGUCGAACGCUCUAGUUUACUAGAGAGUGGCGAACGGGUGAGUAACACGUAGGUAAUCUGCCCUUAAGACGAGGAUAACAGUUGGAAACGAUUGCUAAGACUGGAUAGGAAUAUUUAAGGCAUCUUAAAUAUUUUAAAAGACCUUCGGGUAUGCUUAAGGAGGAACCUGCGGCGCAUUAGCUAGUUGGUAGUGUAAUGGACUACCAAGGCGAUGAUGCGUAGCCGGACUGAGAGGUUGAACGGCCACAUUGGGACUGAGACACGGCCCAAACUCCUACGGGAGGCAGCAGUAGGGAAUUUUCGGCAAUGGGGGAAACCCUGACCGAGCAACGCCGCGUGAAUGACGAAGUACUUCGGUAUGUAAAGUUCUUUUAUUAGGGAAGAAUGACUUAUGGAAAAAUAAGUGUGACGGUACCUAAUGAAUAAGCCCCGGCUAACUAUGUGCCAGCAGCCGCGGUAAUACAUAGGGGGCAAGCGUUAUCCGGAAUUAUUGGGCGUAAAGGGUGCGUAGGCGGCCUGUUAAGUCUAAGGUGUAAGUGCAGUGCUUAACGCUGUGAUGCUUUGGAAACUGGCAGGCUUGAGUGUGGUAGAGGUAAGUGGAAUUCCAUGUGUAGCGGUAAAAAUGCGUAAAUGUAUGGAGGGACACCAGUGGGCGAAGGCGGCUUAACUGGGCCACAACUGACGCUGAGGCCUAAUAGUUUGGGGAGCAAUCAGGAUUAGAUACCCUGGUAGUCCACGCCGUAAAACGAUGAGUACUAAGUGUUGGAGAAAUUCAGUGCUGUAGUUAAACGCAAUAAGUACUCCGCCUGAGUAGUACGUACGCAAGUAUGAAACUCAAAGGAAUUGACGGGACCCCGCACAAGCGGUGGAUCAUGUUGUUUAAUUCGAUGAUACGCGAAAAACCUUACCAGGUCUUGACAUCCCCUGCAAAGCUAUAGAGAUAUAGUAGAGGUUAUCAGGGAGACAGGUGGUGCAUGGUUGUCGUCAGCUCGUGUCGUGAGAUGUUGGGUUAAGUCCCGCAACGAGCGCAACCCUUAUUGCUAGUUACCAUCAUUAAGUUGGGGACUCUAGCGAGACUGCCAGUGACAAACUGGAGGAAGGUGGGGAUGACGUCAAAUCAUCAUGCCCCUUAUGACCUGGGCUACAAACGUGAUACAAUGGCUAAAACAAAGGGCAGCUAAGCAGUGAUGUGGAGCGAAACCCAUAAAAAUAGUCUCAGUUCGGAUUGAAGUCUGCAACUCGACUUCAUGAAGCCGGAAUCGCUAGUAAUCGCGAAUCAGAAUGUCGCGGUGAAUACGUUCUCGGGGUUUGUACACACCGCCCGUCAAACCACGAAAGUCGACUAUACCCAAAGCCGGUGGCCUAACCGUAAGGAGGGAGCCGUUUAAGGUAGGGUUGAUGAUUGGGGUUAAGUCGUAACAAGGUAGCCGUA
This 1484-nucleotide ribosomal RNA is filed under the name uncultured bacterium. RNAcentral describes it as "bacterial SSU rRNA". It matches the Rfam family "Bacterial small subunit ribosomal RNA". The record is from RNAcentral.